AACGCACAUUGCGCCCGCCAGUAUUCUGGCGGGCAUGCCUGUCUGAGCGUCAUUUCAACCCUCAUGCCCCUAGGGCGUGGUGUUGGGGAUCGGCCAAGGCCCGCAAGGGACGGCCGGCCCCUAAAUCUAGUGGCGGACCCGUCGUGGCCUCCCCUGCGAAGUAGUGAUAUUCCGCAUCGGACAGCGACGAGCCCCAGCCGUUAAACCCCCCAAAUUUUACAAGGUUGACCUCAGAUCAGGUAGGAAUACCCGCUGAACUUAA
RNAcentral lists this unclassified non-coding RNA (262 nucleotides) under uncultured fungus. RNAcentral describes it as "sequence contains ITS2". The stretch from base 1 to 52 matches the Rfam family "5.8S ribosomal RNA", at positions 103 to 154 of the family's 154-position model. Lineage: Eukaryota; Fungi. The record is from RNAcentral.